This 253-nucleotide ribosomal RNA is filed under the name uncultured bacterium. RNAcentral describes it as "partial 16S ribosomal RNA". It matches the Rfam family "Bacterial small subunit ribosomal RNA", at positions 524 to 776 of the family's 1533-position model. The record is from RNAcentral.
UACGUAGGGGGCAAGCGUUGUCCGGAAUCAUUGGGCGUAAAGAGCGUGUAGGCGGCCCGGUAAGUCCGCUGUGAAAGUCCAGGGCUCAACCCUGGGAUGCCGGUGGAUACUGUCGGGCUCGAGUCCGGAAGAGGAGUGUGGAAUUCCUGGUGUAGCGGUGAAAUGCGCAGAUAUCAGGAGGAACACCAAUGGCGAAGGCAGCUCGCUGGGACGGUACUGACGCUGAGACGCGAAAGCAUGGGGAGCAAACAGG